AAAUCAUAGCAAUGGAUAUCUCAGCUCUCAUAUCAACGAAGAAUAUAGCGAAAUAUGAUACUUGGUGUGAAUUGCAGAAUCCCAUGAACCAUAGAAUCUUUGAAUGCAAGUUGUGCCAGAAGCCAUUAGGCCGAGGGCAUGUCUUCCUGGGCAUGA
Non-coding RNA from Capsicum annuum, 156 nucleotides. The record is from Rfam. NCBI's taxonomy places the organism in Eukaryota, Viridiplantae, Streptophyta, Magnoliopsida, Solanales, Solanaceae.